This 256-nucleotide ribosomal RNA is filed under the name uncultured bacterium. Its description in RNAcentral is "partial 16S ribosomal RNA". It matches the Rfam family "Bacterial small subunit ribosomal RNA", at positions 524 to 776 of the family's 1533-position model. The record is from RNAcentral.
UACGUAGGGUGCAAGCGUUGUCCGGAAUUAUUGGGCGUAAAGAGCUCGUAGGCGGUUUGUUGCGUCGGCUGUGAAAUCCCGAGGCUCAACCUCGGGUCUGCAGUCGAUACGAGCAAACUAGAGUGUUGCAGGGGAGACUGGAAUUCCUGGUGUAGCGGUGAAAUGCGCAGAUAGUCAGGAGGAACACCGGUGGCGAAGGCGGGUCUCUGGGCCGAUACUGACGCUGGAGGAGCGAAAGCGUCGGGGAGCGAACAGG